GUACCAUGCAUGCUUAAAAUGAAUGUAUCUACAUUUGUUCCUGAGAUACAGGUUGAUGGAUGGAUGGCUCCAUGGAUGUGAUGGAGAUGGUUUACUAUCGGGACCUUCCGUAUCCUGCUGAUGCUUUGUUGCUUAGGAUAUGAAUGGCUGAGCGGAGGCUGUAAAACCUGGCACUCUGCUUGGGUAUGAGGUUCUUCCUGCCAUCCUGCCAUCAUUUGUUUUUUAUGUUUUGUCGCCAAAAGUGACCUUGAGGAACCCUGGGAGCUCAGGAAGGAAGGAGCGCCCAGAAGCAGGGACAGGGAGCUGGUUGGGGAGGACCAGAAAUCAGGUUAUCAAUACUCUGGCUGACCAUCAUCAUCGUGGGACUGACUUUGGUGGAAGUCCUUGGUUAGGUAUCAUUAUUGAAUUUCCGAGAAGUUAUAAAGUUGUCAUUACCCUCUGGACAGUUUACCUUUGGGUGAGUAUACUAACUUUCUGUAGAGGUAUACUUGUAAUCACAAAUAAGA
This 506-nucleotide long non-coding RNA is filed under the name Pan troglodytes (chimpanzee). Its description in RNAcentral is "long non-coding RNA NONPTRT006374". Lineage: Eukaryota; Metazoa; Chordata; Mammalia; Primates; Hominidae. The record is from RNAcentral.